GUGAGGAAUAUUGGUCAAUGGGCGGGAGCCUGAACCAGCCAAGUCGCGUGAAGGAAGAAGGAUCUAUGGUUCGUAAACUUCUUUUGCAGGGGAAUAAAGUGCAGGACGUGUCCUGUUUUGUAUGUACCCUGAGAAUAAGGAUCGGCUAACUCCGUGCCAGCAGCCGCGGUAAUACGGAGGAUCCGAGCGUUAUCCGGAUUUAUUGGGUUUAAAGGGUGCGUAGGUGGUUUGAUAAGUCAGCGGUGAAAGUUUGCAGCUUAACUGUAAAAAUGCCGUUGAAACUGUCGGACUUGAGUGUAAAUGAGGUAGGCGGAAUGCGUGGUGUAGCGGUGAAAUGCAUAGAUAUCACGCAGAACUCCGAUUGCGAAGGCAGCUUACUAAGCUACAACUGACACUGAAGCACGAAAGCGUGGGGAGCAAACAGGAUUAGAAACCCCGGUAGUCC
RNAcentral lists this ribosomal RNA (445 nucleotides) under uncultured bacterium. RNAcentral describes it as "partial 16S ribosomal RNA". It matches the Rfam family "Bacterial small subunit ribosomal RNA", at positions 354 to 796 of the family's 1533-position model. The record is from RNAcentral.